This 253-nucleotide ribosomal RNA is filed under the name uncultured bacterium. RNAcentral describes it as "partial 16S ribosomal RNA". It matches the Rfam family "Bacterial small subunit ribosomal RNA", at positions 524 to 776 of the family's 1533-position model. The record is from RNAcentral.
UACAGAGGGUGCGAGCGUUAAUCUGAAUUACUGGGCGUAAAGCGUGCGUAGACGGUUAUUUAAGUCAGAUGUGAAAUCCCCAGGCUCAACCUGGGAACUGCGUCUGAUACUGGAUGGCUUGAAUUCGGGAGAGGGAUGCAGAAUUCCAGGUGUAGCGGUGAAAUGCGUAGAUAUCUGGAGGAAUACCGGUGGCGAAGGCGGCAUCCUGGACCGACAUUGACGCUGAGGAGCGAAAGCUAGGGGAGCAAACGGG